This 440-nucleotide ribosomal RNA is filed under the name uncultured bacterium. RNAcentral describes it as "partial 16S ribosomal RNA". It matches the Rfam family "Bacterial small subunit ribosomal RNA", at positions 338 to 795 of the family's 1533-position model. The record is from RNAcentral.
CCUACGGGCGGCAGCAGUGGGGAAUAUUGCGCAAUGGGGGAAACCCUGACGCAGCAACGCCGCGUGCGGGAUGACGGCCUUCGGGUUGUAAACCGCUUUCAGCAGGGAAGAACAUCGACGGUACCUGCAGCAGACGCGCCGGCUAACUACGUGCCAGCAGCCUCGGUACUACGUAGGGGGCGAGGGUUAUGCGGAUUCAUUGGGCGUAAGGCGCGCGAUGGCGGGUGCCUAAGCGGGACCUCAACCCUCGGGGCUCAACCCAGAGCCGGGUCCCGAACUGGGAGCCUCGAGUGCGGUAGGGGAGAUCGGAAUGCCCGGUGUAGCGGUGGAAUGCGCAGAUAUCGGGAAGAACACCGAUGGCGAAGGCAGAUCGCUGGGCCGCCACUGACGCUGAGGCGCGAAAGCUAGGGGAGCGAACAGGAUUAGAUACCCGAGUAGUC